GACGAACGCUGGCGGCGUGCUUAACACAUGCAAGUCGAACGGAAAGGCCCUGCUUUUGUGGGGUGCUCGAGUGGCGAACGGGUGAGUAACACGUGAGUAACCUGCCCUUGACUUUGGGAUAACUUCAGGAAACUGGGGCUAAUACCGGAUAGGAGCUCCUGCUGCAUGGUGGGGGUUGGAAAGUUUCGGCGGUUGGGGAUGGACUCGCGGCUUAUCAGCUUGUUGGUGGGGUAGUGGCUUACCAAGGCUUUGACGGGUAGCCGGCCUGAGAGGGUGACCGGCCACAUUGGGACUGAGAUACGGCCCAGACUCCUACGGGAGGCAGCAGUGGGGAAAAUUGCACAAUGGGCGGAAGCCUGAUGCAGCAACGCCGCGUGCGGGAUGACGGCCUUCGGGUUGUAAACCGCUUUCGCCUGUGACGAAGCGUGAGUGACGGUAAUGGGGAAAGAAGCACCGGCUAACUACGU
RNAcentral lists this ribosomal RNA (467 nucleotides) under uncultured bacterium. RNAcentral's name for it is "partial 16S ribosomal RNA". It matches the Rfam family "Bacterial small subunit ribosomal RNA", at positions 28 to 506 of the family's 1533-position model. The record is from RNAcentral.